CCUACGGGAGGCAGCAGUAGGGAAUCUUCCACAAUGGGCGAAAGCCUGAUGGAGCAACACCGCGUGGGUGAAGAAGGUCUUCGGAUCGUAAAACCCUGUUGUUAGAGAAGAAAGUGCGUGAGAGUAACUGUUCACGUUUCGACGGUAUCUAACCAGAAAGCCACGGCUAACUACGUGCCAGCAGCCGCGGUAAUACGUCGGUGGCAAGCGUUAUCCGGAUUUAUUGGGCGUAAAGGGAACGCAGUCGGUCUUUUAAGUCUGAUGUGAAAGCCUUCGGCUUAACCGGAGUAGUGCAUUGGAAACUGGGAGACGUGAGUGCAGAAGAGGAGAGUGGAACUCCAUGUGUAGCGGGGAAAUGCGUAGAUAUAUGGAAGAACACCAGUGGCGAAAGCGGCUCUCUGGUCUGUAACUCACGCUGAGGUUCGAAAGCGUGGGUAGCAAACAGGAUUAGAUACCCUUGUAGUC
This 465-nucleotide ribosomal RNA is filed under the name uncultured bacterium. RNAcentral's name for it is "partial 16S ribosomal RNA". It matches the Rfam family "Bacterial small subunit ribosomal RNA", at positions 338 to 795 of the family's 1533-position model. The record is from RNAcentral.